GAGGACCCUCCUUUUCCAAAAGAAAACUACUUUGUAUUAAAUCAGAUGUGAACAGUUCAAGGGAGAUGAAAUCCCUGCCAAAACAGAAGUGAAAGGAGGUAGAUCUCCUCUCCAAAAAAAGCAGAAUGAGAAGGAGGUGGGGCACCUCUCAAAACCAAUGAGACAGGAGGUGAAGCACCUCUCAAGAAAACAGAAGAGUUUUGUCUGCCAAAAUUAGCUAAGUUGUGUGUAGAGUGUUGGAGUUUCUGCUGAUAUGGGACCAUCGGAUAACACUGAUCGCCUUGGCAUAAUAGGAAAUGUCAUUGCAGAGGGAUGCUACUGUUCUGUGAAGGUGUCACUGCUCCAAAGCUUCUGUUCUUCCAAGUGUCUGUCCUUUUUCACCUGGUGAAAGAUAAGUUUGCUAUGUAUGUAAAAACUUUCUGACAUCUAAAGAUCAUAGAAAAGCAGAUAUUGGUUUGAUAUAUAUGGAACUAAAUAAACUUCAAAGCAAACGCCAGAUCAAGAUUCAGAAUGGCCUCAUGAAACCUACUCAUUCUGCAAUUUGACAAGGUGUAUACUGUAUGAUUCUAGUUCAUGUCAGCAUCAGGUCAUUAUGCUUGUAGAAGAUAAGGUGCUACGCUGUGUUAUCUACAGACAGGAGCUCAACUCCUCGCGAGUCGCGUGGCCAAACCCAAAGAGUGAUGAUGCACACAAGGGAUAAUAUGAAACCUAUGGGACCUGAAGAACCUCCAUUGUCAAAUGAUGGAAUCAUUCCAACAAACUAGUGGAUCCACCGUUUUGUGGCCUUGGGCUGGAUUCCACUGAUUCUAGUAAUGCACAUGAAAGAAGACAAUAAUAAUGAAAUCAUAAUGGAGGUUGUUGACCUUUUCUUGUCACCAACUUUGAAAACAGAGCUUCAAUUAUAUCUUCAGCUAGACUAGGAUUUUUCUGCACUAUGUUCAUAGUUGCCCUCUAACUAUAUCUGCAGCAAAUUUACAGAUCAAUUUCACAUCCUUAUCUCAGAUGUAAGUUGAUAUGGAGAAUCAAGUUCCAAAAACCAGAAUCUCCAUGGAAGUUUGAGGGGAGACUGGAAAUCAUAGGAUUUCAGUAGCCUACAUACAUUAUCUAUUGCCAAUUUCAUUUAACUAGAUGUUAGCACAUCGGUCUGCUAGUGUAGUGAUGAUGCACAUGGAUGAUCACUGAAGCAUCACAGCUUCAUGUGACCAGAAAUCUUAUCAUUCAGCAUCAGUCGAAAAAUUUUGAUGCAGAAUGUCAUAAUAAAAAUCCAUGAAGUACUGAACGAAUAGAGAAACAGAAGUCUUAGUUUGUGAAAAAAGGAAAUUCCAAUUUUUCCCUCUACAUUCAUUAGAAGGGCAUGAGGAAAUUUAAAUAUGGACUAAUUCACAUAGGACAGAAUCUUCAUGGCAAGUAUUUUCAUCUCGAUGAUCCACAACAACAUAUUAAAUAUGGUUUUAUCUUUUAAAUUUAUGCAUGUAUUGUAGCAUCUUUCAUCAGAAUAUAUACACUAUAAACCUCAGCAUAGACUAUUAUAAGGCCCCUGUUUCAGAUGAACUAUUGUCCUAGAUGGUAGGUACACAUCUCCCAUUUUUUUAUUCAUCCUUUGGGAUAAUCAGAAAGUAAUAGAUAGAAGCUAUAAACAAAGUUUAUGCCCUAAAUGUCAUUCUUUGAAACAAUGCUUCUAAACAAAAUUGCAUCUAGAAAACUUGCAAUGGAGUUUUGAUGCAUAUCACACUUGAAAAUGGAUUUAGGAACUUUCAAGAAAGCAAGAAAUGGUUGACCUGAAUAGCCCCUAGAAAGAUGUUGGCAAACUGAAGUACAUUAGCAGCCAAAAAGCAUGAGAAAUUUGUAAUGGUGCUAAAGUGUUUCCAAUGGACUGACUGAAAUUGAACGAUGUAUUUAUUUGGCAGUACCCAUCGAACCUCUAUAGCAUUCUGAAAGGAAGCUCAAAUUUUUCUCCCCCUUUGGUUGGAUAUUAGUGAAAUAAAAUAUCAAGACAUGAUGAUUGAUGUUUGUUACAUCUAAAAUAAUUUUUGUCGGAUGCCAAAAAUCAGAAUUCAUAUAGGGAGGCUGAAAUUAUUAGGUGUAUUGUCCUAUAUUUCAAGCCUUUUUCUCCAGUGAGAUCUCAAUUUAGUGGUCAACAUCCACAGGAAUGAGGCUUUGGAGCUUACUAGUUUGAUUCUUCAACUUUACAGAGCAGCUUUCUUGCCAUUGUUGUUGAGCACCAAACAAACAGACUAUAUAAUGUUCUACAGCUUCUGAUCCUUGAAAAUGGAAAGGGCAACAUGGCAUGCAGCAACCAUAAGAUCCUUCUGGAUCCAAGAAGACAAGCGGUGCCUUUCAUGUACCAGUUGAUAUUUGAGUCGCCGCUUGCCAUAAAGCGUACGCAGAAGUUAAGAAGCUGAAGUAACAUGAAUUCUACAACAUGCAGAAUGUUUGAAUUUUACGAUUUUUUUCUUAAAGUGAUCAUAUAGGAUAUUUAACUCAAUGUCUUUUACUUUUUCCAGAUUGGAAGAUACUCUAAAGAAAUUUUCAGAAAUUAUAGAACAACUAUCAUCCAAAAGAGAAGAACUAGACUUCAGGUAACAUGGUCUGCUUCUGGUUGAUAACGGUCCCUUCUAAGAUGGCCCUCUUUCUUUGGGAUUGUGGUCCAUUUCUCAGCUAACUUUCUGUUCCCACCACUUCCCUCAUUCUUCUGCAAGCAUUACAUUUGUGGCAUAUAAUGUCUGACUUAAUAGCUUCUAAUCGACCAGUUGUACUAGAAACAGUCGAUGUCAAAGAAAAAUCAUGUUAAAAGAACUAAUCACAUAGAAAAACAUUGGAAGAUCUAAUUUACAAUUAGGAAACAAAACUAGGCACGAGUUGUUUUAAGAUUUUAAAUCCAAGUUGAUGUGCUUUAUAGUUCUAAUUUCAUUUUGAUAAGAAAGUUGUUCCUGGGCAACAAUCAGUUUAAGCUGAAAACUCAUGAAUCAAUCUGACUAAAUCAAUGAUCCGGGAUUGGAACAUACAUGCAGUCACUCUAAUUUAGCAGACAGAGAAACAUUUUAUUUCUGGAACAAUACCUAAACUGAUAACUCAUGCAGUUCCUUGGACUCUAAAGUUACAUCUUUCAAAAGUAUGUUAGAUCAAAAGCUUAGACAAACAUAAACAGAAAGAUAGAGAUCACCUGAGCUCAGGAUGGUAAGAACAGAGUCCCACAUGCAACUUGUAUAAUCCCCUGAACAAGAGCAGUAAUGUUGUCAUUGAUAAAAAUGAGAAGAAAAUGAUUUAAACCUGAGAACUUGUAUCAAGCAAACUUGUUGAUGCAAGGUCACUUUUCUCAGAAUCCAGUGCUAUGAAAACAUUACUCCAUAUAAACAGUAAUUCCAGCAAAACCUCUU
RNAcentral lists this long non-coding RNA (3377 nucleotides) under Musa acuminata (dwarf banana). RNAcentral's name for it is "long non-coding RNA (MACU_LNC001117)". Lineage: Eukaryota; Viridiplantae; Streptophyta; Magnoliopsida; Zingiberales; Musaceae. The record is from RNAcentral.